RNAcentral lists this unclassified non-coding RNA (301 nucleotides) under Glomus sp. Its description in RNAcentral is "partial contains 5.8S ribosomal RNA and internal transcribed spacer 2". The stretch from base 1 to 65 matches the Rfam family "5.8S ribosomal RNA", at positions 84 to 154 of the family's 154-position model. Lineage: Eukaryota; Fungi; Glomeromycota; Glomeromycetes; Glomerales; Glomeraceae. The record is from RNAcentral.
GUGAAUCAUCAAAUUUUUGAACGCAAAUUGCACUCUCUUCGGAUAGUAUGGCUGUUUGAGGGUCAGCCUAAAAAAAAUCGACAUAGUUGCUGUUUCGCUGUGACAUUCGUCUGAAAUUGGGGCAUCGUAAACCUUUAGGUUUUAAGCGGCUUAAAAUUUUCGUUACGAUUCCACGAACGUUUCUAAGAUUUUACUUCUUACACUUUUAAGGUAUCGAUCUUUAUUAGACGUGGCCUUUGCAUCGGAUCACGUCCAUACAUAUUUCGUUAACUGACCUCAUACAGGUAAGAACACCCGCUGA